This 72-nucleotide transfer RNA is filed under the name Camelus bactrianus (Bactrian camel). It matches the Rfam family "tRNA". Rfam says of the family: Transfer RNA (tRNA) molecules are approximately 80 nucleotides in length. Their secondary structure includes four short double-helical elements and three loops (D, anti-codon, and T loops). RNAcentral also lists the same sequence under 3 other names. Lineage: Eukaryota; Metazoa; Chordata; Mammalia; Artiodactyla; Camelidae. The record is from Rfam by way of RNAcentral.
GAGGGUACAGCUCAGUGGUAGAGCACAUGCUUAACAUGCACAAGGUCCUGGGUUCAAUCCCCAGUACCUCCA